This 840-nucleotide ribosomal RNA is filed under the name uncultured bacterium. Its description in RNAcentral is "bacterial SSU rRNA". It matches the Rfam family "Bacterial small subunit ribosomal RNA", at positions 62 to 875 of the family's 1533-position model. The record is from RNAcentral.
UCGUGCGAGAAAAGGGGGGCAACUCCCUGAGUACAGCGGCGCACGGGUGAGUAACACGUAGGUAACCUGCCCUCGAGCCUGGAAUAACCUACCGAAAGGUGGGCUAAUACCGGAUAUGACCACGGACGUCUCGGCGUCUGCGGUGAAAGGUGGCCUCUACUCGUAAGCUACCACUCAAGGAUGAGCCUGCGGGCCAUUAGCUAGUUGGCGGGGUAACGGCCCACCAAGGCGAUGAUGGCUAGCUGGUCUGAGAGGAUGGCCAGCCACACUGGGACUGAAACACGGCCCAGACUCCUACGGGAGGCAGCAGUAGGGAAUAUUGCGCAAUGGGCGAAAGCCUGACGCAGCGACGCCGCGUGGGUGAUGAAGGCCUUCGGGUCGUAAAGCCCUGUCGAGGGGGAAGAAUCGGUUGCGACCUAACACGUCGUGAUCCUGACGGUACCCCUAAAGGAAGCACCGGCUAACUCCGUGCCAGCAGCCGCGGUAAUACGGAGGGUGCUAGCGUUGUUCGGAAUCACUGGGCGUAAAGCGCGUGUAGGCGGCCUCCCAAGUCUGAUGUGAAAGCCCGGGGCUCACCCCCGGAAGUGCAUUGGAAACUGUGAGGCUCGAGUCCCGGAGAGGAGAGUGGAAUUCCUGGUGUAGCGGUGAAAUGCGUAGAUAUCAGGAGGAACACCGGUGGCGAAGGCGGCUCUCUGGACGGUGACUGACGCUGAGACGCGAAAGCGUGGGGAGCAAACAGGAUUAGAUACCCUGGUAGUCCACGCCGUAAACGAUGAGCACUAGGUGUCGCGGGUAUUGACCCCUGCGGUGCCGACGCUAACGCAUUAAGUGCUCCGCCUG